This 469-nucleotide ribosomal RNA is filed under the name uncultured bacterium. RNAcentral's name for it is "bacterial SSU rRNA". It matches the Rfam family "Bacterial small subunit ribosomal RNA", at positions 328 to 797 of the family's 1533-position model. The record is from RNAcentral.
CUUCCAGACUCCUACGGGAGGCAGCAGUGAGGAAUAUUGGUCAAUGGGCGCGAGCCUGAACCAGCCAAGUAGCGUGAAGGAUGACUGCCCUACGGGUUGUAAACUUCUUUUAUAAAGGAAUAAAGUGAGGCACGUGUGCCUUUUUGUAUGUACUUUAUGAAUAAGGAUCGGCUAACUCCGUGCCAGCAGCCGCGGUAAUACGUAGGUGGCAAGCGUUGUCCGGAAUUACUGGGUGUAAAGGGAGCGCAGGCGGGAAGCCAAGUCAGCUGUGAAAACUACGGGCUUAACUUGUAGACUGCAGUUGAAACUGGUUUUCUUGAGUGAAGUAGAGGUUGGCGGAAUUCCGAGUGUAGCGGUGAAAUGCGUAGAUAUUCGGAGGAGCACCGAUGGCGAAGGCGGCCAACUGGGCUUUAACUGACGCUGAGGCUCGAAAGUGUGGGGAGCAAACAGGAUUAGAUACCCGCGUACA